RNAcentral lists this microRNA (16 nucleotides) under Corchorus olitorius. RNAcentral's name for it is "mmu-miR-5". Lineage: Eukaryota; Viridiplantae; Streptophyta; Magnoliopsida; Malvales; Malvaceae. The record is from RNAcentral.
AUGGUGGCACGGAUUU